This 438-nucleotide ribosomal RNA is filed under the name uncultured bacterium. Its description in RNAcentral is "bacterial SSU rRNA". It matches the Rfam family "Bacterial small subunit ribosomal RNA", at positions 338 to 790 of the family's 1533-position model. The record is from RNAcentral.
CCUACGGGAGGCUGCAGUGGGGAAUAUUGCACAAUGGGGGAAACCCUGAUGCAGCAACGCCGCGUGAAGGAAGAAGGGUUUCGGCUCGUAAACUUCUAUCAAUAGGGAUGAAAAAAAUGACAGUACCUAAAUAAGAAGCCCCGGCUAACUACGUGCCAGCAGCCGCGGUAAUACGUAGGGGGCAAGCGUUAUCCGGAAUUACUGGGUGUAAAGGGAGAGUAGGCGGCAUGGUAAGUUAGAUGUGAAAGCCUCGGGCUUAACCUGAGGAUUGCAUUUAAAACUAUCAAGCUAGAGUACAGGAGAGGAAAGCGGAAUUCCUAGUGUAGCGGUGAAAUGCGUAGAUAUUAGGAAGAACACCAGUGGCGAAGGCGGCUUUCUGGACUGAAACUGACGCUGAGGCUCGAAAGCGUGGGGAGCGAACAGGAUUAGAUACCCUUG